UGACCAUGUGUUUAACGGCCGCGGUAUUUUGACCGUGCAAAGGUAGCGCAAUCACUUGUCUUCUAAAUAAAGACCCGUAUGAACGGUAAAACGAGGGCUUAACUGUCUCCUUUUUCAUGUCAAUGAAAUUGAUCUUCCCGUGCAGAAGCGGGAAUCUCCCCAUAAGACGAGAAGACCCUAUGGAGCUUUAGACACCUGAACAGACCACGUCAAAGCCCCCUGAUAAAGGCCCAAACUAAAUGAACCCUGUCCCAGUGUCUUUGGUUGGGGCGACCACGGGGAACUACACAACCCCCAUGUGGAAUGGAAGCAUUUUGCUGCCACAACUAAGAGCUCCCGCUCUAAUAAACAGAAUUUCUGACCAAUACAGAUCCGGCAAAGCCGAUCAACGAACCUAGUUACCCUAGGGAUAACAGCGCUAUCCUCUUUCAGAGCCCCCAUCGACAAGAGGGUUUACGACCUCGAU
Molecule: ribosomal RNA, 466 nt
Filed under: Nibea coibor
Lineage: Eukaryota; Metazoa; Chordata; Actinopteri; Sciaenidae
Description: partial 16S ribosomal RNA
Rfam family: Bacterial large subunit ribosomal RNA
Source: RNAcentral